Ictalurus punctatus (channel catfish) is the source of this 1656-nucleotide long non-coding RNA. The record is from Ensembl. NCBI's taxonomy places the organism in Eukaryota, Metazoa, Chordata, Actinopteri, Siluriformes, Ictaluridae.
AGAGAGACCUGUUCGAGACCAGCACUAAAAAGUAAAGUAGAGGAGGAGAGAAACAGGUUAAAGCAGUGUGCACACACCAACACACUCCAUCUACCUGACUCCCCCUCCACUGGAGCAAAGAGCACUGUCUCACACACACACACACACACACACACACACACACACACACACACUCCUGUCCCAAUAUUAAACUUUCAGACAGAAUGAUGCUUAACGCCGUGAAUCCGGAUCUCCUCCAGUACACAGAUCCGCUGUUUAUCUCUCUGUGCUGGAGAACAGAACAGAGCUACAGAACCGGCGUCUCUGCGCUACUCGGGACACAAGUGCGUAAAAACCCAGCGUGACCUUUAUCACCACGAGUCCAUCGAUCACUGUCAAUCGUCCCUACAGUGUAAACACAAAAACGGGCGUGGCUCAAAACCAGGAAGUAGUACUAGGCAACAAGGAAGAAGGAAACACGGGUAAAUAAGGCCCAGACGUGUGAUCAGACUUCACAGAGAGAUAUAAAUAGACAAACUAAUCACAGGAAAGGGGCGGAGACAAGACUCAAACCCGGAGCAAAACACGUUCAAACGAAAGACAGCAGCGCUCACUUGGAGGAGGCUUGGAACGACUGAUGAAAGUAUCACUAAUAUCCCACAGAAGAUGGAGGAAAAUGCAACGUCUGCAGCUUAAAAAACAAAAAUUAAAAAAUAAAUCGUCUUGCGUCUCGUCUUAAGUGUUUCCUUUUCACCUGCUGUCUGAACGACAAAACAUCUUUCCCUUAUCUUCCCCUGUCCGUCCUGCCGAACAGAUAAACGUCUCGACCGCGGGAUUAAGUUCAGGAAGUGAAACACCGUGUUGUUUUAUCACGGCUACUUCGCUCUACCAGAAUUCAGUAGGUAUCUAAUCUGCGGUUCAGCACAGAGCACGUGCACGCGUCGAUUAUAUCAGACUUCACGUUAAAACUGUGAUGAAUUUCCUGGUAACACAACUGCACUGUGUGGCCAUGUAGUAUUAGUACAUUUAUAGAAGGGGUGUAUUUAUUUAUAAUCGCACUGUCCGGGUUCCCUUUUGAGUCUGGUUCCUCUUGAGGUUUCUUCCUCAUGUCGUCUCAGGGAGUUUUUCCAUCGCCUCUGGUUUGCUCGUUAGGGAUAAAUUCACGAAUUUAAAAUCUAUAUCCUGAAUUUAUAUGCGUGUCGAGGUUCGUAGACUUCAGAGGAGGAGAGCUCCAAGGCUUCCACCACAGACCAGUACAGCCACAGCCCUUGAAGAUACGGAGCUCCAGAAGAUACGGAGCCCCGGAGCUAAUGAAGAUACCUCUGCUCCCUCGGUAGCUGUUUCUGAAGAAAGUCACUCAUUGGAGUCACCUGACCAUCACUGGAUGUUACAAGGGCUGGGACUGUACUGGUCUGCGGUGGAAGCCUUGGAGCUGUCCUCCUCUGAAGCUCCAGACCAGGACCUGCUUAGCAACGGCCUCCGCUUGCUCCUUCUCCAUUUUGGCGCUCUCUUACGGGUAGCACCGAAGCAGGCUUAUUUUACAGUUACAAUCCCGACUACGGCCGACUUCUGGAUAUUUUUUUCUGCUGUAAUGAUUUAACAUACACACACACGUUAUGUAUGCCUGGCCACGCCCCUUUUCCAUCUUCAAUGCUGCUGACAAUGUCAUGAAUCGGC